Molecule: ribosomal RNA, 301 nt
Filed under: uncultured bacterium
Lineage: Bacteria
Description: partial 16S ribosomal RNA
Rfam family: Bacterial small subunit ribosomal RNA
Source: RNAcentral
CAGCAGCCGCGGUAAAACGAAGGGGGCUAGCGUUGCUCGGAAUCACUGGGCGUAAAGGGUGCGUAGGCGGGUCUUUAAGUCAGGGGGGAAAUCCUGGAGCUCAACUCCAGAACUGCCUUUGAUACUGAAGAUCUUGAGUAUGGGAGAGGUGAGUGGAACUGCGAGUGUAGAGGUGAAAUUCGUAGAUAUUCGCAAGAACACCAGUGGCGAAGGCGGCUCACUGGCCCAUAACUGACGCUGAGGCACGAAAGCGUGGGGAGCAAACAGGAUUAGAUACCCGUGUAUCCCUGUCUCUUAUACC